RNAcentral lists this transfer RNA (74 nucleotides) under Alosa alosa (allis shad). RNAcentral's name for it is "tRNA-OTHER". Lineage: Eukaryota; Metazoa; Chordata; Actinopteri; Clupeiformes; Clupeidae. The record is from RNAcentral.
GCAGCUGUGGCCUACUGGUUAGCACUUGGGACUUGUAAUCCGAGGGUUGCAGGUUCGAACCCCAACCAUAGGCA